CCGAGUUAUACAACUCAUCAACCCUGUGAACAUACCUAAAACGUUGCUUCGGCGGGAACAGACGGCCCUGUAACAACGGGCCGCCCCCGCCAGGGGACCCCUAACUCUGUUUUUAUAAUGUUUUUCUGAGUAAACAAGCAAAUAAAUUA
RNAcentral lists this unclassified non-coding RNA (149 nucleotides) under soil metagenome. RNAcentral describes it as "partial internal transcribed spacer 1". The record is from RNAcentral.